RNAcentral lists this ribosomal RNA (468 nucleotides) under uncultured bacterium. Its description in RNAcentral is "partial 16S ribosomal RNA". It matches the Rfam family "Bacterial small subunit ribosomal RNA", at positions 28 to 507 of the family's 1533-position model. The record is from RNAcentral.
GACGAACGCUGGCGGCGUGCUUAACACAUGCAAGUCGAACGGAAAGGCCCUGCUUUUGUGGGGUGCUCGAGUGGCGAACGGGUGAGUAACACGUGAGUAACCUGCCCUUGACUUUGGGAUAACUUCAGGAAACUGGGGCUAAUACCGGAUAGGAGCUCCUGCUGCAUGGGGGGGGUUGGAAAGUUUCGGCGGUUGGGGAUGGACUCGCGGCUUAUCAGCUUGUUGGUGGGGUAGUGGCUUACCAAGGCUUUGACGGGUAGCCGGCCUGAGAGGGUGACCGGCCACCUUGGGACUGCGAUACGGCCCAGACUCCUACGGGAGGCAGCAGUGGGGAAUAUUGCACAAUGGGCGGAAGCCUGAUGCAGCAACGCCGCGUGCGGGAUGACGGCCUUCGGGUUGUAAACCGCUUUCGCCUGUGACGAAGCGUGAGUGACGGUAAUGGGUAAAGAAGCACCGGCUAACUACGUG